AACGAACGCUGGCGGCAGGCCUAACACAUGCGAGUCGAGCGGACUCUUCGGGGUUAGCGGCGGACGGGCGAGUAACGCGUGGGAACGUGCCCUUUGCUUCGGAAUAGCCCUGGGAAAUUGGGAUUAAUAUCGGAUACGCCCUUUUGGGGAAAGAUUUAUCGGCGAAGGAUCGGCCCGCGUUGGAUUAGGUAGUUGGUUUGGUAAUCGCCUACCAAGCCGACGAUCCUUAGCUUGUUUGAGAGGAUGCUCAGCCACACUGGUGCUGAGACACGGACCAGACUCCUACGGGAGGCAGCAAUGGGGAAUCUUGGACAAUGGGGGAAACCCUGAUCUAGCCAUGCCGCGUGAGCGGUGAAGGCCUUGGGGUUGUAAAGCUCUUUCACCGGGGAAGAUAAUGACGUUACCCGGCGAAGAAGCCCCGGCUAACUCCGUG
This 433-nucleotide ribosomal RNA is filed under the name uncultured bacterium. Its description in RNAcentral is "partial 16S ribosomal RNA". It matches the Rfam family "Bacterial small subunit ribosomal RNA", at positions 29 to 507 of the family's 1533-position model. The record is from RNAcentral.